AGAAGCAGCCAUUCAUUAAAAGAGUGCGUAAUAGCUCACUAGUCGAGAGAUCUUGCGCCGAAAAUGUAACGGGGCUAAACUUACCACCGAAGCUACGGGCUUGAACUUAGUUCAAGCGGUAGGAGAGCGUCGUAACCGGGCUGAAGUCGUACCGUAAGGAGCGGUGGACUGGUUACGAGUGAGAAUGUUGGCAUCAGUAGCGAGAUGUGGGUGAGAAUCCCACAGGCCGAAAACCUAAGGUUUCCUCAGGAAGGUUCGUCCGCUGAGGGUUAGUCGGGACCUAAGCCGAGGCCGAAAGGCGUAGGUGAUGGACAACUGGUUGAUAUUCCAGUACCACUACCAUCGUUAUUAUCGAUGGCGUGACGCAGGAGGAUAGUGUGUGCUAGCUAUUGGAUGCUAGUCUAAGCGUUUAGGCAGUGAGAGUAGGCAAAUCCGCUCUCAUAAUGCUGAGGCGUGAUGGGGAAGGUUCUACGGAACCGAAGUACAUGAUUCCACGCUGCCAAGAAAAGCGUCUAGAGAGAGAAGUAGUGCCCGUACCGCAAACCGACACAGGUAGGUGAGGAGAGAAUCCUAAGGCCGGCGGAAGAAUUACAGUUAAGGAACUCGGCAAAUUGACCCCGUAAGUUCGCGAGAAGGGGUGCCUACGAGAGUAGGCCGCAGAGAAUAGGCCCAAGCAACUGUUUAGCAAAAACACAGGUCUCUGCUAAAGCGUAAGCUGAUGUAUAGGGGCUGACGCCUGCCCGGUGCUGGAAGGUUAAGGGGAACACUUAGCGCAAGCGAAGGUGUGAACUUAAGCCCCAGUAAACGGCGGCCGUAACUAUAACGGUCCUAAGGUAGCGAAAUUCCUUGUCAGGUAAGUUCUGACCCGCACGAAUGGCGUAAUGACUUGGGCACUGUCUCAACUGUAAAUCCGGCGAAGUUGUAGUGCGAGUGAAGAUGCUCGCUACCCGCGAUUGGACGGAAAGACCCCGUAGAGCUUUACUGUAGCUUAGCAUUGAGUUUUGGUAUUGUCUGUACAGGAUAGGUGGGAGACUAGGAAACCAGGGCGUCAGCCUUGGUGGAGUCAACCUUGGGAUACCACCCUGACAGUACUGAAAUUCUAACUGGCGGCCAUGAAUCUGGUCACAGGACAUUGUUAGGUGGGCAGUUUGACUGGGGCGGUCGCCUCCUAAAAAGUAACGGAGGCGCCCAAAGGUUCCCUCAGAACGGUCGGAAAUCGUUCGAAGAGUGCAAAGGCAGAAGGGAGCCUGACUGCGACACCCACAAGUGGAGCAGGGACGAAAGUCGGGCUUAGUGAUCCGGUGGUACCUCGUGGGAGGGCCAUCGCUCAACGGAUAAAAGCUACCUCGGGGAUAACAGGCUGAUCUCCCCCAAGAGUCCACAUCGACGGGGAGGUUUGGCACCUCGAUGUCGGCUCGUCGCAUCCUGGGGCUGAAGUAGGUCCCAAGGGUUGGGCUGUUCGCCCAUUAAAGCGGCACGCGAGCUGGGUUCAGAACGUCGUGAGACAGUUCGGUCCCUAUCCGUCGCGGGCGUAGGAAAUUUGAGAGGAGCUGUCCUUAGUACGAGAGGACCGGGAUGGACUGACCUCUGGUGUACCAGUUGUUCCGCCAGGAGCACAGCUGGGUAGCUAAGUCGGGAAUGGAUAAACGCUGAAAGCAUCUAAGCGUGAAGCCAACCUCAAGAUGAGAUUUCCCAUAGCGUAAGCUAGUAAGAUCCCUUGA
Molecule: ribosomal RNA, 1721 nt
Filed under: human gut metagenome
Description: bacterial LSU rRNA
Rfam family: Bacterial large subunit ribosomal RNA
Source: RNAcentral